Molecule: ribosomal RNA, 503 nt
Filed under: uncultured bacterium
Lineage: Bacteria
Description: partial 16S ribosomal RNA
Rfam family: Bacterial small subunit ribosomal RNA
Source: RNAcentral
AUUGAACGCUGGCGGCAGGCUUAACACAUGCAAGUCGAGCGGGGUGAUGGUGCUUGCACUAUCACUUAGCGGCGGACGGGUGAGUAAUGCUUAGGACUCUGCCUAUUAGUGGGGGACAACAUCUCGAAAGGGAUGCUAAUACCGCAUACGUCCUACGGGAGAAAGCAGGGGAUCACUUGUGACCUUGCGCUAAUAGAUGAGCCUAAGUCGGAUUAGCUAGUUGGUGGGGUAAAGGCCUACCAAGGCGACGAUCUGUAGCGGGUCGGAGAGGAUGAUCCGCCACACUGGGACUGAGACACGGCCCAGACUCCUACGGGAGGCAGCAGUGGGGAAUAUUGGACAAUGGGGGGAACCCUGAUCCAGCCAUGCCGCGUGUGUGAAGAAGGCCUUAUGGUUGUAAAGCACUUUAAGCGAGGAGGAGGCUCUUUUGGUUAAUACCCAAGAUGAGUGGACGUUACUCGCAGAACAAGCACCGGCUAACUCUGUGCCAGCAGCCGCAGUAA